RNAcentral lists this ribosomal RNA (483 nucleotides) under uncultured bacterium. RNAcentral describes it as "partial 16S ribosomal RNA". It matches the Rfam family "Bacterial small subunit ribosomal RNA", at positions 28 to 523 of the family's 1533-position model. The record is from RNAcentral.
GACGAACGCUGGCGGCGUGCUUAACACAUGCAAGUCGAACGAUGAAGCCGGAGCUUGCUCCGGUGGAUUAGUGGCGAACGGGUGAGUAACACGUGAGCAAUCUGCCCUUGACUCUGGGAUAACUGCGGGAAACUGUAGCUAAUACCGGAUACGACACCUUGGGGCAUCCCAGGGUGUGGAAAGAAUUUCGGUCAAGGAUGAGCUCGCGGCCUAUCAGCUAGUUGGUGAGGUAAUGGCUCACCAAGGCGACGACGGGUAGCCGGCCUGAGAGGGUGAGCGGCCACACUGGAACUGAGACACGGUCCAGACUCCUACGGGAGGCAGCAGUGGGGAAUAUUGCACAAUGGGCGAAAGCCUGAUGCAGCAACGCCGCGUGAGGGAUGAAGGCCUUCGGGUUGUAAACCUCCUUUAGCAGGGAAGAAGCGAAAGUGACGGUACCUGCAGAAAAAGCACCGGCUAACUACGUGCCAGCCGCCGCAGUAA